GGGCUUAGUGGUGGGGUGACUGCGUACCUUUUGUAUAAUGGGUCAGCGACUUAUAUUCUGUAGCAAGGUUAACCGAAUAGGGGAGCCGGAGGGAAACCGAGUCUUAACCGGGCGUUAAGUUGCAGGGUAUAGACCCGAAACCCGGUGAUCUAGCCAUGGGCAGGUUGAAGGUUGGGUAACACUAACUGGAGGACCGAACCGACUAAUGUUGAAAAAUUAGCGGAUGACCUGUGGCUGGGGGUGAAAGGCCAAUCAAACCGGGAGAUAGCUGGUUCUCCCCGAAAGCUAUUUAGGUAGCGCCUCGUGAAUUCAUCUCCGGGGGUAGAGCACUGUUUCGGCUAGGGGGCCAUCCCGGCUUACCAACCCGAUGCAAACUGCGAAUACCGGAGAAUGUUAUCACGGGAGACACACGGCGGGUGCUAACGUCCGUCGUGAAGAGGGAAACAACCCAGACCGCCAGCUAAGGUCCCAAAGUCAUGGUUAAGUGGGAAACGAUGUGGGAAGGCCCAGACAGCCAGGAUGUUGGCUUAGAAGCAGCCAUCAUUUAAAGAAAGCGUAAUAGCUCACUGGUCGAGUCGGCCUGCGCGGAAGAUGUAACGGGGCUAAACCAUGCACCGAAGCUGCGGCAGCGACGCUGAUGCGUUGUUGGGUAGGGGAGCGUUCUGUAAGCCUGCGAAGGUGGCCUGUGAGGGUUGCUGGAGGUAUCAGAAGUGCGAAUGCUGACAUAAGUAACGAUAAAGCGGGUGAAAAGCCCGCUCGCCGGAAGACCAAGGGUUCCUGUCCAACGUUAAUCGGGGCAGGGUGAGUCGACCCCUAAGGCGAGGCCGAAAGGCGUAGUCGAUGGGAAACGGGUUAAUAUUCCCGUACUUGGUGUUACUGCGAAGGGGGGACGGAGAAGGCUAUGUUGGCCGGGCGACGGUUGUCCCGGUUUAAGCGUGUAGGUGUGUGUUCCAGGUAAAUCCGGUUCACUUUAACACUGAGGCGUGAUGACGAGGCACUACGGUGCUGAAGCAACAAAUGCCCUGCUUCCAGGAAAAGCCUCUAAGCAUCAGGUAACAUCAAAUCGUACCCCAAACCGACACAGGUGGUCAGGUAGAGAAUACCAAGGCGCUUGAGAGAACUCGGGUGAAGGAACUAGGCAAAAUGGUGCCGUAACUUCGGGAGAAGGCACGCUGACACGUAGGUGAAGUGAUUUACUCAUGGAGCUGAAGUCAGUCGAAGAUACCAGCUGGCUGCAACUGUUUAUUAAAAACACAGCACUGUGCAAACACGAAAGUGGACGUAUACGGUGUGACGCCUGCCCGGUGCCGGAAGGUUAAUUGAUGGGGUCAGCGCAAGCGAAGCUCCUGAUCGAAGCCCCGGUAAACGGCGGCCGUAACUAUAACGGUCCUAAGGUAGCGAAAUUCCUUGUCGGGUAAGUUCCGACCUGCACGAAUGGCGUAAUGAUGGCCAGGCUGUCUCCACCCGAGACUCAGUGAAAUUGAACUCGCUGUGAAGAUGCAGUGUACCCGCGGCAAGACGGAAAGACCCCGUGAACCUUUACUAUAGCUUGACACUGAACAUUGAGCCUUGAUGUGUAGGAUAGGUGGGAGGCUUUGAAGUGUGGACGCCAGUCUGCAUGGAGCCGGCCUUGAAAUACCACCCUUUAAUGUUUGAUGUUCUAACGUGGACCCGUGAUCCGGGUUGCGGACAGUGUCUGGUGGGUAGUUUGACUGGGGCGGUCUCCUCCUAAAGAGUAACGGAGGAGCACGAAGGUUGGCUAAUCCUGGUCGGACAUCAGGAGGUUAGUGCAAUGGCAUAAGCCAGCUUGACUGCGAGCGUGACGGCGCGAGCAGGUGCGAAAGCAGGUCAUAGUGAUCCGGUGGUUCUGAAUGGAAGGGCCAUCGCUCAACGGAUAAAAGGUACUCCGGGGAUAACAGGCUGAUACCGCCCAAGAGUUCAUAUCGACGGCGGUGUUUGGCACCUCGAUGUCGGCUCAUCACAUCCUGGGGCUGAAGUAGGUCCCAAGGGUAUGGCUGUUCGCCAUUUAAAGUGGUACGCGAGCUGGGUUUAGAACGUCGUGAGACAGUUCGGUCCCUAUCUGCCGUGGGCGCUGGAGAACUGAGGGGGGCUGCUCCUAGUACGAGAGGACCGGAGUGGACGCAUCACUGGUGUUCGGGUUGUCAUGCCAAUGGCACUGCCCGGUAGCUAAAUGCGGAAGAGAUAAGUGCUGAAAGCAUCUAAGCACGAAACUUGCCCCGAGAUGAGUUCUCCCUGAGACUUAGAGUCUCCUGAAGGAACGUUGAAGACGACGACGUUGAUAGGCCGGGUGUGUAAGCGCAGCGAUGCGUUGAGCUAACCGGUACUAAUGAACCGUGAGGCUUAACCUUACA
This 2372-nucleotide ribosomal RNA is filed under the name Salmonella enterica subsp. enterica. Its description in RNAcentral is "partial 23S ribosomal RNA". It matches the Rfam family "Bacterial large subunit ribosomal RNA", at positions 577 to 2925 of the family's 2925-position model. Lineage: Bacteria; Pseudomonadati; Pseudomonadota; Gammaproteobacteria; Enterobacterales; Enterobacteriaceae. The record is from RNAcentral.